AGAGUUUGAUCCUGGCUCAGGAUGAACGCUAGCGGCAGGCUUAAUACAUGCAAGUCGUGGGGCAGCGCAGUGUAGCAAUACAUGGGCGGCGACCGGCAAACGGGUGCGGAACACGUACGCAACCUUCCUUUAAGUGGGGAAUAGCCCGGGGAAACCCGGAUUAAUACCCCGUAACAUCAUGAAGUGGCAUCACUAUAUGAUUAUAGCUUCGGCGCUUGAAGAUGGGCGCGCGGCUGAUUAGGUAGUUGGCGGGGUAACGGCCCACCAAGCCUACGAUCAGUAACUGGUGUGAGAGCACGACCAGUCACACGGGCACUGAGACACGGGCCCGACUCCUACGGGAGGCAGCAGUAAGGAAUAUUGGUCAAUGGGCGAAAGCCUGAACCAGCCAUGCCGCGUGGAGGAUGAAAGCCCUCUGGGUUGUAAACUUCUUUUAUCUGGGAAGAAACCCGCGAUUUCUAUUGCGGUUGACGGUACCAGUUGAAUAAGCACCGGCUAACUCCGUGCCAGCAGCCGCGGUAAUACGGAGGGUGCAAGCGUUAUCCGGAUUCACUGGGUUUAAAGGGUGCGUAGGU
This 575-nucleotide ribosomal RNA is filed under the name uncultured Bacteroidota bacterium. Its description in RNAcentral is "bacterial SSU rRNA". It matches the Rfam family "Bacterial small subunit ribosomal RNA", at positions 8 to 576 of the family's 1533-position model. The record is from RNAcentral. Lineage: Bacteria; Pseudomonadati; Bacteroidota.